UAGAUUGAAGCCCGCUGGCUUGGGUUUUUAGUUGUUAACUAAAGGUUUACGGGAUCGAGGCCCGUCGAUCUAG
Molecule: transfer RNA, 73 nt
Filed under: Bavayia robusta
Lineage: Eukaryota; Metazoa; Chordata; Lepidosauria; Squamata; Diplodactylidae
Description: tRNA-Asn
Source: RNAcentral